UGGCACAGCUGGCUGCCCGCGGAGCUCACGAGCACGUCACUGCAACCCCCCCUGGCUUCUGCUCCGCGGCUGCUGAGUGACCCCUCAUCUGGGACUCUCCUCAGCUCUUUCUGGGACAGUGGCGCGGCUGCCCCUCUGUUGGUCUUCCUUGGUCUCUUGUGCUCUGAGGGCCUCUGGAUGUCUGGAGCCUGGAUCUCCUCCAUACCUGCUUCAUGCCCAGGAGGACGGGGCUGUGGCCCCCCACACCCUCUAGCAGAUCAUUACAUGAAGGAACCUUUUAAAUACAAGCGCGCUCAUGCUCACAGGUGUACACACGGGUGCUCACACACACAAACUACACCCUUUUUGGCUCCUACCUCAAAGCACACUGUGCGCUGUUGAUCUCACGUGCUGCACAAUAAUGUUUAAUAUUUAGUAUUUACUGUCAUAUUCCCAUAUAUCAUCGUGAUAUUGUUUAUUACUCUCGUUUUCUCCUGCUUGCUUUCUUUUUUCUUUCUCAACAGGUGAUCCAGGUGAUCGAUAUAUGUAUUUUUUGUCUGCUUAUUAUGUUGGUUUUUAUUUUUUGCCCUUUAUCACCGUCCCUCUUCUCAGCUGUUUUUCUUUCCCUCUUUCUUUCUCCCCUUUCUUUUCCCCAGUCAAGUCUGUCCCGUAUUCAGCAAGUGAAAAUAAAAUAAACAAUAAAAGGUGAAUCAAAUAGACCAUUACGGCAAGGCUGGGAUGGUCAAUUUGGUAAAGUAAAUCCGUUGAUAGGCAUCUUUCUUCGCCUUUAGACAACAAUUCUGAUGGCAAAAGAGCCAAAUGGGACAGGCAAAAAAAAAAGAAAAAAAAAAAGAUUAUAAUAGCAAAUAAUUUGAUGUGAUUCUCUAGUUCAAACGAUUAGUGUGUGAUUGUCAGUGCAAAGAAGGAGUAAGGAGGAUGUUAAGAGCAGGAAGAACCAGGUGAGUUGUCCACUCGCCUGGUUCUUCCAGGUGAGUUGUUAGGUGUUUUUCCACCUAACUUCCUCAGUUAGGUGGAAAAACGUUUUUUCUCAAAAUAACCUGACAUGCAUUUCAUGGGUGCAUUUCAGUAGCUAUGAUAUGAAUGGUAGCAUUUAAUAGGUUACAUAUUACACUAAACAUGGCUGGAAAAAAAAGGUUGGCUUGAUAUCCUGUAAAUCUUCACAAUAAAUGGAGGGUGUGAGAAAUCAAAAUGCAUGUUAAAGCAGUGCAGCUAUAUUAUAGCUACUAGUAUUUGUAAAUUUAAGGACAUAAAGGUUAUAUUUGUCCUUUUGUUUAUAGGGUUCGAUUGCUGCCACACCCUCUCAGUGACCAAUCGCCUGAUUUUAAGUGAAGAGUUGAGACACCUGCCUAGCUGCUGUUUCGGGGCUCCUCUGCAGUGGAGCUGCUGUCUUGUCUUGUUUUGUCUUGUGUUCUGUUCUGUUGGCUGUCCAGUUUUGUUCCUGCAGCUUUGCCUCGCCUCUGGGGGCUUUGGGUCUCACUUUAAGCCCCUUCUGGACGAUUGUUUGCACUCCAGCUUCCGCGGCUGGCUAGGGCGUUCCUCAGCUGCAUAUCGGGCUGGUGCUACAAAACUGGUACUGCCUCCCCUGGUUGCUCCCAGUUUGUGGGGAGCUGCACGAGACUGAGUGGGCCUACGGACAAUCGGAACCAGCACCAGCUGUGGGCUGGCUCGCAGAGUCGAACUGAGGAUCUACCAGCGGCCGUGGACCUCAGGUGGCGGGUCGUUUUCCACACUUCCUUUGUUGUACAGCACCGGAUGAAUAGACUAUAGAGGGGUUUUUUGUGUGGUUUUCUUUUUGGUCCACCGCUGCUGUGAACACAUCCGAGAACAACGUGGAGUUCAGUGUCUUGCCCAGAAAUACUUUGGCUUGCAGAGUGGAGCAGCCAGGGAUCACACCACCUCUACAUCCAGUGUGGAUAGUUCUGGACUGCUGAGCUUGACCACACAGCGAGCUGGUUUAGUAGAGUCCUGGUCUGUCAACCUUCGGAAGUGCUCGGCCUCCCAGAGACUGGUGACUGUUAUACUGAGUAGUACUUUUUGUAAUGCUGAGCAUCAGAUUAGUUUUUUCCUUUGCUGUGGAGGUAUGGUCAAUGUAUGGAUACGUCUGUAAGACUUAAGCAUACAUACUGGCACCC
This is a long non-coding RNA of Pelmatolapia mariae (spotted tilapia), 2132 nucleotides long. RefSeq lists it as uncharacterized. The record is from RefSeq and is a predicted model, not a curated record. Lineage: Eukaryota; Metazoa; Chordata; Actinopteri; Cichliformes; Cichlidae. The transcript has 3 exons.